Long non-coding RNA from Gigantopelta aegis, 296 nucleotides. RefSeq lists it as uncharacterized. The transcript is spliced from 3 exons. NCBI's taxonomy places the organism in Eukaryota, Metazoa, Mollusca, Gastropoda, Neomphalida, Peltospiridae. The record is from RefSeq and is a predicted model, not a curated record.
AGAAGAGAGAAGAAGAAGAGAGAAAAGGAAGAGCCCCUCGAUACGAGGAGAAGAAAGAGAGAACAGUACGAAGACAGUGGUCAAGAGGAUGCCCCUCUAAUAAAAUCAAUGAAGAUGGGUGGCGAUCAGUUAGAGAAAAUGAUGGCGCAGCCACUACAAGUAACAUCUUCGAAAGAAGAAUUCAAAAAAAUAAAACUGGCAUUGCAGGAGAUAAAUGUAAACAUAUAUAAUCUCCUACAAAAUAUACCCUAUUAAAAAUGUGUAUAUAAGUUAUCUAAUAAAUUGUGUCUUGAUGU